Molecule: RNA transcript, 2909 nt
Organism: Lampris incognitus (smalleye Pacific opah)
Lineage: Eukaryota; Metazoa; Chordata; Actinopteri; Lampriformes; Lampridae
Gene: polb
Gene name: polymerase (DNA directed), beta
Exons: 14
Source: RefSeq, a predicted model, not a curated record
CGUUCGGUCAUUGUUUAGCUUAGGCUAGCCAACGUGCUAGCUGUCUUGCUGCAAAGGCCGCCACCAAAUUGAUAAUAUAUUAACAAAACCAACUGAUUUCAGUUCCUUUUACCACAAGUCGACAAUGAGUAAGAGGAAGGCCCCCGGGGAGUCCCUUAAUGAAGGGAUAACAGACUUCCUAGUGGAACUGGCCAAUUACGAGAAAAAUGUCAACCGAGCGAUACACAAAUACAAUGCCUACAGGAAAGCAGCAUCUACCAUUGCUAAGUACCCCCAGAAAAUCAAAAGUGGCACAGAGGCUAAGAAACUGGAUGGCGUGGGAGCAAAAAUUGCAGAGAAGAUAGAUGAGUUUCUGCAAACUGGCAAGUUACGGAAACUGGAGAAGAUCCGUAAUGAUGACACAAGCUCCUCCAUCAAUUUCCUUACCAGGGUCACUGGAAUUGGCCCUGCUGCUGCUAGGAAGUUCUUCGAUGAAGGAGUGAAGACACUAGAAGAUUUGAAAAAGAUUGAGCACAAGCUGAACCAUCACCAACAGAUUGGUCUCAAGUACUUUGAGGACUUUGAGAAAAGGAUCCCACGAGCUGAAAUGGAGAUUAUGGAAAGGCUGAUUCUAAAGGAGUUGGAGAAGAUAGACCCAGAAUAUAUUGGAACCAUCUGUGGCAGCUACAGGAGAGGUGCACAAUCCAGUGGUGAUAUUGAUAUCCUGCUGACCCACCCCGACUUCACCUCUCAGUCAGAGAAGCAGCCCAAGCUCCUUCAUGCAGUAGUAGAGCACUUGGAAUCCAUCGGGUUUGUAACGGAGACUCUGUCCAAAGGAGACACAAAGUUCAUGGGUGUCUGUCAGCUGCACAAGAGUGAUGAGGAUGAGGAAGAGUUCCUUCACAGGCGUAUUGACAUCAGGUGGAUACCAGAAACUGUUAAUUCCCAAGGACCAGUACUAUUGUGGUGUUCUCUACUUCACUGGGAGCGAUAUCUUCAAUAAGAACAUGAGAACUCAUGCUCUGGAGAAAGGCUUCACUCUCAAUGAGUACACCUUACGACCAGUUGGGGUUACUGGAGUGGCAGGGGAGCCUUUGCUGGUGGACAGUGAGAAGGAUAUCUUUGAGUACAUCCAAUACAAAUACAGAGAGCCCAAGGAACGCAGCGAGUGAAGUCAAUGAGAGAUCACAGCCUUCAAACAAUGAGGGAAACCACGAAUGAAGUUUAUGUGUUAGUAUAUCACUGCUCCAUGGCAUAAUCUUUCAUUUACUGUCCUAGCAUCUUUUUUUCCUGUUUUUCUUUUGGGGUUUUUUUUAACAAACAUUUGUGAAAGGUCAGUCAAAUUUUCGUCAGUCUUGGGGUGCCCGGCGGCUCACCUGGUACAGCGCAUACCAUAUAUAGGGCUGAGUCCUUACUGCAGUGGCCUGGGUUCGAAUCUGGCCCGGGCCCUUUGCUGCACGUCAUCUCCUCUGUCUUUCCUGUCUCUCUCUUGACUAUCACUAUCAAAUAAUAAUGAUAAUAAUAAAUUAAACUUAUAUAGCGCUUUUCUAACACUCAAAGUCACUUUACAAUAAAUGGGGUGAAACAAGAAAACAGAUAAACAUAACAAACAUACAGGGGUGGAUGGGAAGGGGGGCUACGAGAGGGAGAAGCGCCAGCCACACACGAUGCCAGUAGUACUCUCCAACUUAGACGGAUACAAAAGGGCAAGAAAAACAAAAAACAACAGCACUGUAGACGUUGAUUUUCUGUAGGGGUUUACUACCAUAGCAUAUUCCUCUAGGCAGUGGCACUAUUUAACCCAUAACUGGGGGUGGAAAAUAAAACAAAAGUGGAAAAUAAAAUAAAGGUGGAAAAUGCCUAAAAAAAAACAAUCUUGAGAAAACAAUCUUGAAAAAAAAAACAUGUCUUCCGUCUUAGGGAGUAUCAUUUUUUAAACCAGUAAAAUAUUCUCCUUUCAAUGAAAUUUUCACUACAACAUUUAAUUUUAUACCUGGGAAUUCUAUUAUAUUUAUUUGUGGAAUUUUACAAGAUGAUCCUUGUCAUGCAAAAAUGUAUUGCUUGAGAAUGAUUAUGCAAAGGCAUUUUUAAUAAUAGUGUCCCAGUAUCAUGUACCAAACUGGUAAAAUCCCUGCAUUAUAAUCAGUCUCCUUAACUCAGGCAUGGUUCUGUUAUUAGAAAUGAUUUGCUUACCUGUUUGUUUACCUUUUAAGAGGCUUUUGUAAAGUCCUGUGGCACACAGGGCACAGCGGCAUCUGCCAUCACUUCACAGUAUUGUAUUUAUUGAUGCAGAUAUUUAUCUCAACCUGAAAAUUGAGAGCAUGUGAUUUUAGGGCAUGUGGAUUUUGAAAAACACCGUAUGUGUUUCUCAUUCUGUCUGGAUGGACUGAUAAAGCAGUAGUGUGUUGCAUUUAUCUUAGGCUGGGUAUAAAAAAUGGAUUUGGAAAUGAGAGAUUAAUACUAAAGAUACCAGUAGAGUCUCCUAAGUGGUGUUAAUUUGUGUGUUUUGUGUUUGCUGGUGUAAUGUUACAAAUAUGAUCUGGGACAAAAUUCACCAUGUAUACCCCCCCCCCCCACUCCACCCCCCAUACCUCAGUGCACAUACAUUUCAUGUAAGAUUGAAAUUGUGAUGCCAUAUUAAGAUCUGAGUGUCGGGCCCUGAAAAGUGGGAAUAGGUUCAAGUUACUUUCCUCAAGGAUAGAUUUAAUUUGUUAGCUUUAAGGCAAUGCAUGUAUUGUACUUGCAGCUGUGUUAUAGGAUCAGUUUACAUGUUGUAGGCAUCAUUCUGUAAUGGACAGAUGUGAUAUAUUUUCUGAAUUCAUUCACAGGUCUUAAGUUUAUUAUUCAACUAAUGGAAACCUGUUAUUGGUGUUUAGGGAGGACUUUUUAUGAAAGGUUUGCAAUUUUGUGUGGUUUAUUAAAAACUUUCA